GACGAACGCUGGCGGCGUGCUUAACACAUGCAAGUCGAACGGAAAGGCCCUGCUUUUGUGGGGUGCUCGAGUGGCGAACGGGUGAGUAACACGUGAGUAACCUGCCCUUGACUUUGGGAUAACUUCAGGAAACUGGGGCUAAUACCGGAUAGGAGCUCCUGCUGCAUGGUGGGGGUUGGAAAGUUUCGGCGGUUGGGGAUGGACUCGCGGCUUAUCAGCUUGUUGGUGGGGUAGUGGCUCACCAAGGCUUUGACGGGUAGCCGGCCUGAGAGGGUGACCGGCCACAUUGGGACUGAGAUACGGCGCAGACUCCUACGGGAGGCAGAAGUGGGGAAUAUUGCACAAUGGGCGGAAGCCUGAUGCAGCAACGCCGCGUGCGGGAUGACGGCCUUCGGGUUGUAAACCGCUUUCGCCUGUGACGAAGCGUGAGUGACGGUAAUGGGUAAAGAAGCACCGGCUAACUACGUG
This 468-nucleotide ribosomal RNA is filed under the name uncultured bacterium. Its description in RNAcentral is "partial 16S ribosomal RNA". It matches the Rfam family "Bacterial small subunit ribosomal RNA", at positions 28 to 507 of the family's 1533-position model. The record is from RNAcentral.